RNAcentral lists this long non-coding RNA (2320 nucleotides) under Homo sapiens (human). RNAcentral describes it as "HSALNT0233136". Lineage: Eukaryota; Metazoa; Chordata; Mammalia; Primates; Hominidae. The record is from RNAcentral.
GUCAAGCUCUUUAAAAGUCUAUCCCAUUUUAAAGAGCUUUUCCAAAAGUCCUUCCAGGAAACUUCUGUGUAUAUCUCAGUAGCUACAAGAGGGUUCCGCUAGAAGAUUUAGUUUUUGAUCCUGGGCAUAUUGCUACCCUGAACAAAAUUCUAUUAGCAAACAGAAGACACAAAAUUACUCUUCAUCAAUUCUCUCUUUGUCUGAUCUAGAGUUUAACCACUUAAGUUUUAAAUUUUAGUAACUGUAUUUUUAUUUCCAAUAUUCUACUUGGCUCUUUCAUAGGCAGAUAUUCUUAUUUCUGAAUUUGUUUUCCAUUUUUGUUCUUCCAUUCUCUCUUAGAAAAUUCUAAACACAUUUAUUUUCAAGACGUUUGCUCAUUUAUUUCCAUUUCAAUCUGAAGUGAGUUUAUCUUCUGAUGGUUGAGUUUGUGGAAAUCCUCCCUAGUAUUAAAUUUCUCUGUGGGUUUUUUUUUUUUUUUUUGUAUGUGUGUGAGAGGGAGUUUACAUUUCAGGUUCAUUUGAAUGGUAGGUUCAUUUUCUCUCUCACCCUAUCUGCUGCUUCCUCUCCACCAAUCCCCAGCCUUGUCCUCAUUCACUCUUUCCCUCUCAAGCAACUCUACUUACUUUCUUCACUUUGUCCUUCAGCCCCUAAGACCUCAUACUGACAGUGGUGGGCUCCUGCCCCAUGGUUGAUACUGGAGUUACAAACACUCAUUCAUUAAACUAGUAGGGAUUUCAUUCAUUUCCUGGUCAAAGGCCAUGUAACUGGAUUCUCCCACCUCUUUAGGACCAAACCUAGAAAUAAGCCUUGGUUUCAGUCAGUGCUUAAUGGCAGUUAUUGUUUUAGCUUUCUUGCAGAAACAAAAGAUACCAACCAGCCUGGCAUUAGGCCGUAAGACUAACCCAGGACCCCCAUUAUGAGCAGAAAACUAUUACUAAAUACUUAUAAGAGCCAAAUUCCGAGGCUGCCACAACCUUUCAGACCCAGAGCCCAGGAGGCCCACAGACCUUCUGAUCAUUUUAUGUUUCUAUUCUGUAUUUGUAAGCUCAGCUAGGUCUUUUCAUAUUUUUAUUAUUAUUUUUUUUAAGAGACAGGGACUCACUCUGUCACAUAAGGCUAGGAUACGGUAGCACGAUCACAGCUCACAGCAACUCGAACUCCUGGGCUCAAGCCAUCCUCCUCCCACCUCAACCUCCCACCAAGCAGUUGACACUUCAGGCGCCACACCACUACACCUGGCUUUUUUUUUUUUUUUUUUUUUUUUUGAGACGAAGUCUUGCUCUGUCUCCCAGGCUGGGGUGCAAUGGCAUGAUCUUGGCUCACCACAACCUCCGCCUCCCAGGUUCAAGCGAUUCUCCUGCCUCAGCCUCCCAAGUAACUGGGAUUACAGGCACCCACCACCAUGCCCAGCUAAUUUUUUAAAAUUAUUUUUAGUAGAGACGGGGUUUCACUAUGUUGGCCAGGCUGGUUUUGAACUCCUGACCUCAAGUGAUCCGCCCACCUAGGCCUCCCAAAGUGCUAGGAUUACAGGCACGAGCCACCGCACCCGGCCAAGACAGGGUCUUGCUAAUGUUGCUCAGGCUGGUUUCAAACUCCUGGCCUCAAGUGAUCCUCCCACCUCAGCCUCCUGAGUAGCUGGGAUUACAGGCACAAGCUACCACGCCCAGCUUAUUUAUCUUUUUCAUACAUGUAUUCUAUCAAUAUUGCUGUGUAUUUGGAUCAGAAUGGAUGCCUGAUCCAAAGUGUGAAUUCAUGAGGUAAUUUUGUCUGGAAGUCUUCCAGACAAACUCAGAUUGGUUUAUGACAGUCAAGAUUCAAAACAGAGUAAAAUCAUGUAUAGAUAGCUUCCUAAAAAUAUUAACAUAUCUGUUUAUGGUCAUUUGUCAUUCAUUCUGUUUGACUAACAAGUGAACUCCUUUCCUGGGAUGGAGACUCCUCUAGGACAGAUGGAAGAAAUGGCAUGGCUCCCUGGCUGCUGGAUCACAACUUAUGACUACCUCAGACUCUGAAUUUUAAUUUAAUUGGGGGGGAAAAAAAACCCCGAAAGAAUCUAUUUGGUGAUGGAUGCUGGCAGCUACUUCUAAUUUCCAAAGGCAGCUUCUAAUGGUAGCAUCCACUGUCUACUCUGGCUAUUGUGAGCCCCAGAAUCUAAUGCCUAGCAGUGGAGGUGGGGAUGUCUUGAACAGAUAGUUCUGCAACAGGAUUUGGGGCAUAAUAGCCUCUGAACCUCUGAAACAGUCUCUGAUAUAAUCUUUAAUAAUGCCCAUACUGGCUUCUUUGAAAAGAUAUGACUAAAAGCUAUGAAAAGCAUUAUGUGAUA